RNAcentral lists this ribosomal RNA (527 nucleotides) under Salmonella enterica subsp. enterica serovar Agona str. SA-4. RNAcentral describes it as "bacterial SSU rRNA". It matches the Rfam family "Bacterial small subunit ribosomal RNA", at positions 1 to 516 of the family's 1533-position model. Lineage: Bacteria; Pseudomonadati; Pseudomonadota; Gammaproteobacteria; Enterobacterales; Enterobacteriaceae. The record is from RNAcentral.
ACUUAAAUUGAAGAGUUUGAUCAUGGCUCAGAUUGAACGCUGGCGGCAGGCCUAACACAUGCAAGUCGAACGGUAGCACAGAGAGCUUGCUCUCGGGUGACGAGUGGCGGACGGGUGAGUAAUGUCUGGGAAACUGCCUGAUGGAGGGGGAUAACUACUGGAAACGGUGGCUAAUACCGCAUAACGUCGCAAGACCAAAGAGGGGGACCUUCGGGCCUCUUGCCAUCAGAUGUGCCCAGAUGGGAUUAGCUGGUUGGUGAGGUAACGGCUCACCAAGGCGACGAUCCCUAGCUGGUCUGAGAGGAUGACCAGCCACACUGGAACUGAGACACGGUCCAGACUCCUACGGGAGGCAGCAGUGGGGAAUAUUGCACAAUGGGCGCAAGCCUGAUGCAGCCAUGCCGCGUGUAUGAAGAAGGCCUUCGGGUUGUAAAGUACUUUCAGCGGGGAGGAAGGUGUUGUGGUUAAUAACCGCAGCAAUUGACGUUACCGCAGAAGAAGCACCGGCUAACUCCGUGCCAGCAGCC